Molecule: non-coding RNA, 71 nt
Organism: Podarcis lilfordi (Lilford's wall lizard)
Lineage: Eukaryota; Metazoa; Chordata; Lepidosauria; Squamata; Lacertidae
Source: the annotation of a GenBank genome assembly
GAGAUAGCUCAGUCCGUUAGAGUGUGGUACUGAUAAUGCCAAGGUUGGGGGUUUGAUUCUCGUAAGAGACA